GACGAACGCUGGCGGCGUGCUUAACACAUGCAAGUCGAACGGCAAGGCCCUGCUUUUGUGGGGUGCUCGAGUGGCGAACGGGUGAGUAACACGUGAGUAACCUGCCCUUGAUUUUGGGAUAACUUCAGGAAACUGGGGUUAAUACCGGAUAGGAGCUCCUGUUGCAUGGUGGGGGUUGGAAAUUUUCGGCGGUUGGGGAUGGACUCGCGGCUUAUCAGCUUGUUGGUGGGGUAGUGGCUUACCAAGGCUUUGACGGGUAGCCGGCCUGAGAGGGUGACCGGCCACAUUGGGACUGAGAUACGGCCCAGACUCCUACGGGAGGCAGCAGUGGGGAAUAUUGCACAAUGGGCGGAAGCCUGAUGCAGCAACGCCGCGUGCGGGAUGACGGCCUUCGGGUUGUAAACCGCUUUCGCCUGUGACGAAGCGUGAGUGACGGUAAUGGGUAAAGAAGCACCGGCUAACUACGUG
Molecule: ribosomal RNA, 468 nt
Filed under: uncultured bacterium
Lineage: Bacteria
Description: partial 16S ribosomal RNA
Rfam family: Bacterial small subunit ribosomal RNA
Source: RNAcentral